UUGAAGUGAAGGUUUAUUUUACAUUAACUAAUUAAUCAUAUAAUGUUUGGAACUCUUAUUUGCGCAUUUCUUAUUUGCCCAUAAGUUAAGGGCAAAAGUAGUAUUUUAAUUUUUUUUAACAGUGGUAGAUAUUUAACUCAUGUUUAAUCCAAAUUAUCUUAAUAGGUGGUAACGACAAAGGUAUUUUGAAAUAACGGAGGAACAAAGAGGAAUAUAUUGGAAAGAAAAAAAAAUAGAAGUAAAUAAAAUAUUUUGAAGGAUUGAGGGUAUACGGGCAAUUAUCCCUUAGU
Molecule: long non-coding RNA, 290 nt
Filed under: Ananas comosus (pineapple)
Lineage: Eukaryota; Viridiplantae; Streptophyta; Magnoliopsida; Poales; Bromeliaceae
Description: long non-coding RNA (ACOM_LNC009606)
Source: RNAcentral